RNAcentral lists this unclassified non-coding RNA (397 nucleotides) under uncultured Ascomycota. RNAcentral's name for it is "sequence contains ITS1". Lineage: Eukaryota; Fungi; Ascomycota. The record is from RNAcentral.
GACCUACUUCGCGGCACCUGAUGAGUGGCAAGCGCCCGAGCGGGCGGGGGUCGAGCAUGUGGCCGGGCGCGUACUGGACGUGGGGUGCGGCGCGGGCAGGCACGCCGUCGCGCUUGCCGAGGCCGGGCAUGACGUCGUCGGCAUCGACCCUUCGGACGGCGCGAUCGAGAUCGCUCGCGAGCGCGGAGUGCACGCCGUGCAGGCGACGCUCACCGACCUGCCCGCUGAGCUCGGCACGUUCGACACGCUACUGCUGUACGGGGCCAACGUCGCGCUGCUGGGACCUGCUAGAUCGAGCGCCGCAGGGCUCCACCGGCUGGCUGAGGCAGCACGCCCGGGCGCCCGCAUCGUCGGCUCGUGUCUCGAUCCCUAUGAAACAACGUCACCCGACCACCUU